GACGAACGCUGGCGGCGUGCCUAAUACAUGCAAGUAGAACGCACAGUUUAUACCGUAGCUUGCUACACCAUAGACUGUGAGUUGCGAACGGGUGAGUAACGCGUAGGUAACCUGCCUGGUAGCGGGGGAUAACUAUUGGAAACGAUAGCUAAUACCGCAUAAUAUUAAUUAUUGCAUGAUAAUUAAUUGAAAGGUGCAAUUGCACCACUACCAGAUGGACCUGCGUUGUAUUAGCUAGUAGGUGAGGUAACGGCUCACCUAGGCGACGAUACAUAGCCGACCUGAGAGGGUGAUCGGCCACACUGGGACUGAGACACGGCCCAGACUCCUACGGGAGGCAGCAGUAGGGAAUCUUCGGCAAUGGACGAAAGUCUGACCGAGCAACGCCGCGUGAGUAAAGAAGGUUUUCGGAUCGUAAAGCUCUGUUGUAAGAGAAGAACGGGUGUGAGAGUGGAAAGUUCACACUGUGACGGUAUCUUACCAGAAAGGGACGGCUAACUACGUG
This 505-nucleotide ribosomal RNA is filed under the name uncultured bacterium. RNAcentral's name for it is "partial 16S ribosomal RNA". It matches the Rfam family "Bacterial small subunit ribosomal RNA", at positions 28 to 507 of the family's 1533-position model. The record is from RNAcentral.